Molecule: ribosomal RNA, 484 nt
Filed under: uncultured bacterium
Lineage: Bacteria
Description: partial 16S ribosomal RNA
Rfam family: Bacterial small subunit ribosomal RNA
Source: RNAcentral
AUUGAACGCUAGCGGGAUGCUUUACACAUGCAAGUCGAACGGCAGCGCGGACUUCGGUCUGGCGGCGAGUGGCGAACGGGUGAGUAAUGUAUCGGAACGUGCCCAGUAGCGGGGGAUAACUACGCGAAAGCGUAGCUAAUACCGCAUACGCCCUACGGGUGAAAGCAGGGGAUCGUAAGACCUUGCACUAUUGGAGCGGCCGAUAUCGGAUUAGCUAGUUGGUGAGGUAACGGCUCACCAAGGCGACGAUCCGUAGCUGGUUUGAGAGGACGACCAGCCACACUGGGACUGAGACACGGCCCAGACUCCUACGGGAGGCAGCAGUGGGGAAUUUUGGACAAUGGGGGCAACCCUGAUCCAGCCAUCCCGCGUGUGCGAUGAAGGCCUUCGGGUUGUAAAGCACUUUUGGCAGGAAAGAAACGUCGCGGGCUAAUACCCCGUGGAACUGACGGUACCUGCAGAAUAAGCACCGGCUAACUACGUG